UCUGAAUCAUUUGAGUCUCUGUUUUUGGUAGGCUACAUCCUGAACUCUUCCUUGGCCCGGGACGCAGGGAGGGACGCAUCAAGGCCCCGCUGGUGGUCACUUUGGGCACAACCUUGCCUAACAUAGACUGAACCUGUGUAGUUUUCUCCAGUCCUCUGUGUGUUUGUACCUGUGGUAUUUGAAGGGGCGGUGUAAACAGUGCCAGCAGCAGCCAUGAUGGAUGCGGCGGAGUGCGGGGUGAGGGUGAUGUGCCGCUUCAGGCCCCUGAACGAGUCCGAAAUAAACAGAGGGGACAAAUACAUCCCCAAAUUCAAAGAAGACGACACGGUGGUGAUAACGAGUAAACCCUACGUGUUCGACCGCGUGCUGCCCCCCAACACGUCCCAGGAACAGGUGUACGACCAGUGUGCCAAACAGAUAGUUAAAGAUGUGCUGGGCGGCUACAACGGGACCAUCUUCGCUUACGGACAGACGUCCUCCGGAAAGACACACACCAUGGAGGGCAAACUGCACGACCCCCAGUUGAUGGGAAUCAUCCCUCGCAUCGCUCAAGACAUCUUUGAUCACAUCUACUCCAUGGACGAGAACCUCGAGUUUCAUAUCAAGGUUUCCUAUUUUGAAAUCUACUUGGACAAGAUCAGAGACCUCCUGGAUGUGUCGAAGACGAAUCUCGCUGUGCACGAAGACAAAAACAGAGUGCCCUAUGUCAAGGGUUGUACUGAGCGUUUUGUGUCCAGUCCGGAGGAGGUGAUGGACGUCAUCGAUGAGGGCAAAAACAAUCGGCACGUGGCAGUGACGAACAUGAAUGAGCACAGCUCUCGCAGCCACAGCAUCUUCCUCAUCAACAUCAAGCAGGAAAACGUGGAGACGGAGAAGAAGCUGUCGGGGAAGCUCUACCUGGUCGACCUGGCGGGCAGCGAGAAGGUCAGCAAGACGGGAGCAGAGGGAGCCGUGUUGGAUGAGGCAAAGAACAUCAACAAAUCUUUGUCGGCGCUGGGAAACGUAAUUUCAGCUCUGGCCGAGGGAACAAAAACCCAUGUGCCGUACAGAGACAGUAAGAUGACUCGCAUCCUGCAGGACUCUCUGGGGGGAAACUGUCGCACCACCAUCAUCAUCUGCUGCUCGCCGUCCGUCUACAACGAGGCUGAGACCAAGUCCACACUCAUGUUUGGACAAAGAGCCAAGACCAUCAAGAACACGGUGUCGGUGAACCUGGAGCUGACGGCCGAGGAGUGGAAAAAGAAAUACGAGAAGGAGAAGGAGAAGAACAAGAGCCUGAAAAAUGCCAUGCAGAGGCUUGAAGUGGAACUGAACCGCUGGAGGAACGGGGAGAAAGUUCCUGAGGACGAGCAGCUGAGCUCUAAAGAUCAGAAGGGCGCCGAGCCAUAUGACAACACUCCCGUCAUCGACAACCUGCUGCCGCCCGGAGGAGGCGUCUUGCACCCAGCCAACGAGCGCAACCAAUACGAGGACGACGUCAGCAACCUCUACAAACAGCUGGAUGACAAGGAUGAUGAGAUCAACCAACACAGUCAGCUGGCAGAGAAACUCAAGGAGCAGAUGAUUGACCAGGAAGAGCUGCUGGCGUCUACGCGGCGUGACUACGAGAAGAUCCAGGAGGAGCUGUGUCGCCUGCAGACAGAAAACGAGCUGGCCAAGGAGGAGGUGAAGGAGGUGCUGCAGGCCCUGGAGGAGUUGGCCGUCAACUACGACCAAAAGAGCCAAGAGGUGGGGGAGAGAGACCUAGCCAAUCUGCAGCUGGUGGAGGAGCUGCAGCACAAGACGGCGUUGCUGUCAGCGGUGCAGAGCGAGCUGAGUCAGCUGCAGGAGCUGAGCGGCCUACAGAGGAAGAGAGCUGCCGAGGUCCUCAACCUAUUGCUGCGAGACCUCAGUGACAUUGGCACCAUCAUUGGCACCGGUGACGUGAAGACCACCGCGUCCUCCGAGACGAAGGGGAACGGCUUGGCGGUGGAGGAGGAGUUUACCGUGGCUCGCCUCUACAUCAGCAAGAUGAAGUCUGAGGUCAAGUCUCUGGUGAACCGCAGCAAGCAGCUGGAGAGCGCUCAGGCUGACACCCACCGCAAGAUCCAGGCCAAUGAGAAGGAGCUGGCGUCCUGUCAGUUGCUCAUCUCCCAGCACCAGGCCAAGAUCCGCUCUCUGACGGACUACAUGCAGAACAUGGAGCAGAAGAAGAGGCAGCUGGAGGAGAGUCAGGACGCUCUGACCGAAGAGCUCGCCAAACUGCAGGCUCAGGAGAAAAGACACGAGGUGUUGGGAGAGGAGAAGGAGGACAUCAGCAGACUGGAUAGAGACGAGGACAUCGAGAAAGCGCUGGAGGAGCAGUUGGAGAACCACCGGGAGGCUCAUCAGAAGCAGCUCAGCCGCCUUCGAGACGAGAUUGGAGACAAGCAGAGGAUGCUGGACCAACUCACAGAUCUAAACCAGGCUCUGCUACUGGAGCAGGAGAGACUCAUGUCGGACAUUGACAAACUGAAGGCCAAAGAGCAGGAGAAGGAUGAAAAGCUACAGAAACUCAUGAUGCUGAAUGAACAGAGGGAGCAGACCAGAGAGGACUUAAAGGGAUUGGAGGAGACAGUGGCUAAAGAGCUGCAGACUCUGCACAACCUGCGCAAAGUCUUUGUUCAGGACCUCACCACGCGGGUUCAGAAGAGUGCGGAGCUGGACUUUGAGGAGGGACUUGGCAACGUGGCCCAGAAACAGAAGAUCUCCUUCCUGGAGAACAACUUGGAACAGCUCACCAAGGUCCACAAGCAGCUGGUACGAGACAAUGCAGACCUGCGCUGCGAGCUGCCCAAGCUGGAGAAGCGUCUUCGGGCCACGGCCGAGCGAGUCAAAGCCCUGGAGAACGCCCUGAAGGAGGCCAAGGAGAACGCCAUGAGGGACCGCAAGCGCUACCAGCAGGAGGUGGACCGCAUCAAAGAGGCUGUGCGGGCCGAGAACAGGGCCAGGAGAGGCCACUCCGCACAGAUCGCGAAGCCCAUCCGACCAGGCCAUCAUCCACCGUCAUCCCCCAUCAGCAGCUCCAUCAGAGCCGGAGGCGUCUACACCCACAACAACUGACACCACAACAGCAAGUUAAACCUCCGGAAUAACUGCCGCAUGCUGAACCGCCCCACCUGGAACCACAAAACCCGCCCCUCCUUUUGGAGCACCAAUGGGAGGACAUCACGACAGACUGUCACCACUCAGAGAAGCAACAUCCAAACACCCUUAUAUAUAUAUAUAUAUAUAUAUAUAUAUAUAUACUAAUAUAAGAUGUAGACAUAUUUAAUUUGCUGAAUGUAGAUAUCAGAGGCCUCAUUUAGAAAAUAAACCAGCAUUCCUUCGUUUAUAAGAAUAGUUUGACAUUUUGAAAAAACACGCCUAUCUAUUAUCUUGCUGAAUGUUAGAUCUGAAGAUGUAUACCACUUCAUCCAACCAAUGUAAAGAAACAAGACAUGAGAGUGGAAUCAAUCUUCUCAUCGAACUAAAUAAGAAAAUACGAGUUUUUCCCAAAAUGUAAAACUAUUUCAAUUUGGGGGGGGGCAAUUUAUUCCAUUGCAGCUAAUGCCUUUAAGUUUUUCAUCCUGAUUAAGUUAAGGUUUGAGUUAUAGUUCAAGUGGAAGUGAAGUGCAGCCACUUUGUUAGGACAAAAACACAUAUUGACACACAGUUGGUUAAAUGGUUGAGUUCCUCACUUCUGAAAGGCCCUGGUUGCAUUCCUAUACUAACGCCUAAUAUCUAUGCUGAUACUGUGUUGUCUUUGGAGUUUUUGUCACUUUUUUGACAUUUCCCAAGUUACCGUUGCCUCCUACAUCUCUCUACUGGUGACAAUCAUAAAAAAAAUGAACACUACAAAUCUUUAAAAAAGAAUGUCCCCUACUGAGAUAUUUUAACAGUUGAAAGGGUUUGUGACUGGCUGUAUCAUGCUGUACUCCUGCAGGGACACUGACCAGCCAAUCAGGCGUCCCCAGGGCUCAGAACAGUACUACAGUCUGGUUUGUUAUGUUGCUACUACAACUAGGAGAGUCUUGUAAAGUUCUGCACUCAAGCUGUAAAGCUGCUGAUCAGCCAAUCAGAGACGUCAAUUACACAGAGUUCACGACAGACUAAUGAAUUUACCGGAAACUCUCACUCCGCCACACCUUGUGCCUUUUGAAACCCCUGAACUUAUAUUUUUACAGGUAAAAACAUCUUGCAAGGUUUUGCAGAAUAAUUUCCACUUCCUCUUUCCCCUCUACUCUAUAAUCAAAGAUACAUAAAUGUCUGUGCUGUUUUGUCUUCGUGCUGCCAGUUUAGCAUGUUCUUGAAUGCACAAUACUAUCUUGAGAUGAUACUUUUAGUUUCCGAGAGCGAUGACACAAAGGGGCGACAAAGCGUCAGCAUCAGUGGUAAAGUUUACGUGAUAUGCAGGUAUGAAAACGGCGUACACCCAUUAGGAAAGGUCGAGGAUUUCCAUUUACCCACUUAGAAAAGCAUGAGGAUAACGUUUUUUUGUGACUUUUGUUUGUGCUGCGAGUUGCAUAGGAACAAACGACACGGUGGCUUGGCGGUCAAUCUUUGCGCAAAUUUGAAAUUAACUAAUAGGAGAUGUACAGAACAAAUUUAACCUUAAGCUGCUCCUGAAGCUAUACUACCGCUUCUGGUGACCUUGCACCAGACGUUUACGUUAGAGAAACUACAGAAAAUGAUCCAGAUGAGGCGGAUGCUGUACCAGGGUUUUCCCGCCAUUUUAGUUCAAGUGCAAAACCCAAGCUGUGUUUGGGCAGCACCUAAAGCCAAAUGAAUACGACCAAAAGCAUUUUCUCAGAUAAAAUUACUAUAGUUGGACUUCUUUAGCAGCUUAUGUCUUUAAGCUUUUUGAGCGUUAGUUAAUUAUUAUCUGCUCUAGCUUUUCCAACGUUUUAGACAUGGAUAUGGAGAUAAUAACGGUCCAAAAUGAUGUGAAAAAGAGACAAAGGGACACAAACCGAUUACAAAGAGAUGAUAAAUGACCAUGGAGACCCACAACAACCCUAAAGGAAACAUAAAUGACCAAAAAGAGACAACACAACUAAAUAAAGAUGCAAAAACCCACAAAGAGAGAAAAUCCCACAAAGAGACACUAAAUUAUUGAAAAACCUCACAUUUUCUUGUUGAAGGACGCCCACCACCACCCCUUUCCCUGGCAAAUAUGCACACCUAAGUCUUCCUCAGAGUGAGGGAAAACCCUGUAUACACGGUUAACGUUGGAGAAAACGUAUGGGGUUGUCGCUCUGGGACGGGCGAGUAUAAAGCUGGGAGGGGGAAAAAAUGACAGUAUACUCACUACAAUAAAACCAGACGACACCCCACUGGGCAGGAUUGUUGCCAAAGAAUCUUGUGACCCGGAGCUUGAUUUUCAGCUUCUUUAUUUGAUGUUUGAUGGUUUUGAUUGUGGCUGUUUGGAGUGAAGCGGACAGCUGCUGUCACACUUAAUAUGACCAAUAAAUGAAUGUAAGUGCAUGGACUAGAGCUUGUGUUAAAGGCAUGCUCAGGGACAACGUGCAUUCACCUCAUCAUGAUGUACAUUUUGAGUUUGCUAAAAUGUCAUUUUAGUUCCCUUGUUUGUUUUGGCCGUUGCGUUAUAUCUUCUAAUAUACCUACAACUGAUGCAAUUAAAGCUAAUAAAAGAUAUAUCUAUUUAACUUU
Etheostoma cragini (Arkansas darter) is the source of this 5670-nucleotide RNA transcript. It is a transcript of the gene named kinesin heavy chain-like, with no coding region annotated. The record is from RefSeq and is a predicted model, not a curated record. Lineage: Eukaryota; Metazoa; Chordata; Actinopteri; Perciformes; Percidae. The transcript is spliced from 27 exons.